RNAcentral lists this long non-coding RNA (303 nucleotides) under Musa acuminata (dwarf banana). RNAcentral describes it as "long non-coding RNA (MACU_LNC002403)". Lineage: Eukaryota; Viridiplantae; Streptophyta; Magnoliopsida; Zingiberales; Musaceae. The record is from RNAcentral.
AGCCAUGCCCCAGAUUAAUAUGACAGAAAGCCACAGGAAAGGAGGAGAUCCACAUGUCAACCAAGAACUACAUAGCCACGAGUUGACAAUUGAGCGGCCAAAGCUAUCCUAAUCCUUCCCUGCUGGCAAAGUUGUGUUCUUUUGUGUGGAUAAUGGAUGGCUGAAAGCCUUCAUGUCCUCGUCACACUGCACAAGGAAAGGAAAAAAGAUGACGAGAGAUGGUGUACAUCAUUUGAUCUGAUCUGGUGUGGGGUUGGCAACUUGCAGACUAAACAAUGCAUGUCACCAGCAACUCUCCCUCUC